GGGGAAGCCCUGCGGUUGGAAAUGAUGCAGGAUGAUGAACCUCCAUCUCUCGUCCCCCAGAAACAAGCCUAAAAAUUCCUUGGGUGAGGCAGCUACAGAAAAACUUGGGAUCCCUGAAUUCUCUCAGCUGCAAAAACGCCUGCUCGCUAACCCAGAAGGUGAAUGCGAAAACCCUUCGGAAGUAGAUUAGACAUCAGGACAUCCGUGGCUCAGGCAAACCCCAAGAAAGAAAGAGAGAGAGACAGAGAGAAAGAAAAAAAAAAGUUUUCCGAACACGUUUGGCCUCGCUCGUCACUCUCAUCUGCAAGGAGGUUCAACUUUCACUUUUUAAUGUGUAGCUUCUAGUUCUCUGCUUAUUUCCUCAAACUGCCAGCUGCUCAUCAUAGCCUGCACAUGUCCGGAACAUACAUGUAUCUCUUGCUGCAGUGAUGGGGAUUGAACCCAGCAUCUUGCACGUGGUAGGUAAGGUGCCACUCUAGCCUGGGCUGACCUGGAAUUCACUCACCUGGAACUCACUCUGUAGCCCAUGCUGGUGGCAAACUCACAGCAAUCCUCUCACCCCAGCCUCCGGAGUGUUGGAUUAUGGAAGUGAGCAGCCACACCCUCAUUAAAUAAACACUUGUGCUCUUUCA
Jaculus jaculus (lesser Egyptian jerboa) is the source of this 632-nucleotide long non-coding RNA. RefSeq lists it as uncharacterized. NCBI's taxonomy places the organism in Eukaryota, Metazoa, Chordata, Mammalia, Rodentia, Dipodidae. The record is from RefSeq and is a predicted model, not a curated record. The transcript is spliced from 4 exons.